This is an RNA transcript of Halichondria panicea, 2886 nucleotides long. RefSeq lists it as uncharacterized. The record is from RefSeq and is a predicted model, not a curated record. The transcript is spliced from 11 exons. NCBI's taxonomy places the organism in Eukaryota, Metazoa, Porifera, Demospongiae, Suberitida, Halichondriidae.
UGUAAUACUAACGAUCUAUGAAAUUUACAAGCUCACAUAAAGACUGUUCAUUACUGCUAAUUCUAUUUUAGCUAUACUAUACUUACUAUACUGAUAUUCUAGCUAUAUUAUACUACUUGCCAGAGUCACACAGUGAGCCCUCUCCGUCCUGGUCCAUAGCUCUAGCGUCUAGGUCCAUGUCAUGCAUGUCCUCAGUCCCAGACAGUUCAUCAGCGUCUGGCAUAAAGCUGGUAGCCUUUGGAAGGUAUCCUACUAUCCCCUCUCCUUCAUAGGCACUGUCAUCACCAGAGGAGACAUCGCCAUUGCUGUCCUCAAGCUGUUCAAGCACAUCGGCACAACUGACCCCUCCCCACAACCCCCUGGCAGACUCGUCUGGUGGACCUCGGAUACCAACUCUCAGCAUCUGCCACAUCGAUUUCCCCCCAAAUCUCACCUCCUCAACGUCGUCUAGCUCUGCCGCAACACACCAGGCCCAUGGCAUCUAAAUGCAGCUGCAAGUACACGACUGGGUCGUGCAACAGCUGUGUGUGUGUGCCCAGGAAGGUAGAACCGGCAGCAACUGCAUCAGAGCUACAGGUGCACAAAUAAGACGACAUCCAUUUAUUUAGGAGGCCUGCAGAGCUAACUGUCUUCAGAUUGAUGGAUUUCAGAUAGAGUUGACACCUUUGAUUCCAACCCCACCAGGUGCAGCCUCUUCGUCAGCCACCCCAGAAACCACGGCGUCCAGAGAAAUUUAUUUGGGAGGCCUCCCUGCGCGUACCACCAAAGGGGAUAUCAGGGAGCCCUCCGUUGUUUUGGCGGCACCAGCAGUCUGGUCUUACCAGGAGGGAGAAAAGGAAGGGGGCACACUUCCGCUCAUAAUCGCUAUAAAAGAGCGGGCAGUGCUGGUGCUAAACAAUCAGCAACUAAAACAGAGUGGACUCGACUAUCUUCAACUGCCUCACCUCACAUCAGAAAACUGAUAUAUACACCUCACAUCAGCAUGGUAUGCUGCAGAUGUAAAAAAGGACUAUGUAGCGGGUGUGUGUGUGCCUAGGGGGGCACACCCUGUACAAAUUGUUGCAGCACAAGAUGCUCAAACCAGGCUAGUUCUUCCACCAAGUGUGCAGCACUACUCCCGAACCCACCAGCCCUAGCUAGGGGCCUGACCCUACGGUUGAAGCGUUGCGUGAGUGUCCCGAACAAUUAUGCCUUAAUGACAACAUGUAGCCAACAACGACACUAUGAGUGUCAGUGCUGGUCCAUCCAUUAUACCCCACUCCCUAACUCACCAGAAAGGCAGCUAGUAGAAUGAAGGUCUCCAGCACUGCAAACCACGAGCUCUCUAUCAGGUUCCCGCUAGUCAGCUAGUUCCCCCUCCACCUAAGAGGAAACGUUCACAUCCAGAGAAAUUUACUUAGGAGGCCUCCCUCCCCGCACCAUGAAGGGGGACAUAAGAAUUGCCCUCCAUUGUUUUGGAGGAACCAGCGUGAGUCAUUUUUAAGUGCAUGGUGGUUCGACAAAUUAACAUGUGCUUUACUUCUCUGUUGUGCAGUCGGUGGACAUCCCAUGGGCGAAGGGAAGGGAGGGGUUAGUACCAUCCACUCACAAUAAUUAUUGUAUAAGUAAACCAUUAUACUUUCUGUAUCGGGUUUGCCUUCAUUACAUUUUUUAAUGAACUCUCAGCAAAAUGGCCUUAGGAAAAAAAUAUAUAAUUAUUGAUCAAAGGACAAAGUGUAAGUUUUUAAUUUGUUCCUGUUUUUAGAAUUUUGUGUGAUGUGCUGGCACCAUGCAUGCACUUUGUCUGCAGGUUGAAAUCAAAAAAAAAAGAGUAGUGACUGUAUGUACUUGUGUUGGUUAAUUGUAUUUCUAAUUAGAGUCUUUGUGUGUACGUAUGUGUGUGAAUUGAUUUUAGCCAAAUCACUCAAAUGCUGUCUACAUUGUGUUGCAUGCACUGUACUGAGCACAAUAUAUAGAACCUCUCACAAGAAGGUGCAUGAUCACCAUGAUGGCAAGUAGAUCCCCUCCAACCAGCUGGUUCAAUUGUGAACACCCACUCACUGACAUUAGACCACAUUUGCCAGUAGCUACCUUUGACCCAAUAGCCAACAACGAUCCUAAUAACGCAAAAAGAGUGAUUCUAACCAAUUGCUAAAUCUAUAUAAUAUUAUAUACACAUCCAUUAUUAUAUCCACGAUUGCAUGCACAAGCACACUUCUUGUAAUACACUUGUGUCACGCACUGUCAUCCACUCCUUUACAGACGCCUUUGUUUUCUACCCCACCUCCUGAGCAGCCACAAACAUCCCUGCAGGUUCAUCUGGUCCAUCAGCAGAAACCGUGAGGGCCAUGUAUAUAUUAAUGUGAAUGCAUGUAGUGUUCCAUAUUAUGUUAGAGAGUUUCGUGGACACCUUCCGUCACCUGUAUCCCGACCUCGCUGGAGCGUACACUUACCAGUUCAACGCCAGAGCCAAGAACACUGGCUGGACACUUCUAAUUACCCCGGACUCUCUUUUGGGCAAUUUUCGUUGUUCUAAUACAACGGACACUCCAGUGCUUUAAUAUUACAUUUGUUCUAAAUAUCCGGACAAUACUUUGAAAAGAGACUGGAUUAUUUCGUGGUGUCUGAGCGGCUCCUCCCUCAUGUAACUGAUGUGGUGAUUCGUAAGGAGGUGUUUGGGAGCGACCGUUGCCCAUUGGUGAUUGGAUUGACAGACCACACCCACAAGAGAAUGACGAACCCUGAAUUGAUUGGCUAUCACUAGCUGCAUUUAGCCAUUAUACGACUAUCUAACAUAGAAUGCAAACAAAUAACAGUUAAUGUGAGCACUUUUACUUAUAUGUUCUGGUGAUGACUACGUUUUUCAUCUUUCUCCCUCUAUUUUCUAUAUGGUUGCCAUGGUGUUGC